CUGUCUCUUGCUUCAACAGUGUUUGGACGGGAAAG
This is a non-coding RNA of Myotis davidii, 35 nucleotides long. Lineage: Eukaryota; Metazoa; Chordata; Mammalia; Chiroptera; Vespertilionidae. The record is from Rfam.